AACAGUAAAUAAAAGAUGUCAAAUGGUCAAAAGUGAAUCCUGAUAGAGUCAUAUACAUUAGAGAGAGGUAUAUAUAUCCUGAUAGAGUCAUAUACAUUAGAGAGAGGUAUAUAUAUCCUGAUAGAGUCAUACACAUUAGAGAGAGGUAUAUAUAUCCUGAUAGAGCCAUAUACAUGAAAGACAGGUGUUUUGCUACAGAUGUAGGAUCUUAAUUUGAGACAGUUUACUGAAGCAGAAAAAUUAUGUGGAUUAUAAUUAACAUUUUAAAGUGUAAAGUGGAAAUGACAAACUUCAGAAGCCUUUUAAAACAUCAAAUACACUACAAGUUUUAGUUUUCCUGCAACAGGGUGAUCAAAAUCAGAUCCUACAUCUGUACAGAGAUGAUGUCUUUAUCUGAAAAAUGAAGUUUGAGUUAUUAGCAAUGAAGUUGCAACUGUCAGCUGCUGUAAACCUAAGUGACUGGAUGUUAUAGACCCCAAUCUGAACAGUUUCUUCCCGUGGUUAUAGCCUUUAGCUCUAUGCUCACUCUACCUAGUUCAAUAUAUUGUUGUACGUAAACUUUGUGCAAACUCCACCGCCUGUAUUCUGUCUCUUAAUGUUUUCUUUCACAAGCAGCACCAUGUCACCAUGUUAAAUAAUGUGUACAGAUGUAGGAUCUUUCCAACUCUGAGGACAUGUCAUUGUGAUGUCAUUUAUUACAUUUCAACCUGUUGAUAAAGGCAACUAGAAGGCUGAACCCAGAAGACAACUCUAAAUCAACACUUACUGAUAUUAUCCUAAAAUCCUUUCACUCGUAUUAUUGUGUCUCUUUGUUCAACGAAUGUCUGGCAGCCUGUGAUGUUAAUAUAGUUGAAAACAGCAGGCAGGGAGGUCAACACCCUACAGGCAGCCUGUGCUGUUAAUAUAGUUGAAAACAGCAGGCAGGGAGGUCAACACCCUACAGGCAGCCUGUGAUGUUAAUAUAGUUGAAAACAGCAGGCAGGGAGGUCAACACCCUACAGGCAGCCUGUGCUGUUAAUAUAGUUGAAAACAGCAGGCAGGGAGGUCAACACCCUACAGGCAGCCUGUGAUGUUAAUAUAGUUGAAAACAGCAGGCAGGGAGGUCAACACCCUACAGGCAGCCUGUGAUGUUAAUAUAGUUGAAAACAGCAGGCAGGGAGGUCAACACCCUACAGGCAGCCUGUGAUGUUAAUAUAGUUGAAAACAGCAGGCAGGGAGGUCAACACCCUACAGGCAGCCUGUGAUGUUAAUAUAGUUGAAAACAGCAGGCAGGGAGGUCAACACCCUACAGGCAGCCUGUGAUGUUAAUAUAGUUGAAAACAGCAGGCAGGGAGGUCAACACCCUACAGGCAGCCUGUGAUGUUAAUAUAGUUGAAAACAGCAGACAGGGAGGUCAACACCCUACAGGCAGCCUGUGCUGUUAAUAUAGUUGAAAACAGCAGACAGGGAGGUCAACACCCUACAGGCAGCCUGUGCUGUUAAUAUAGUUGAAAACAGCAGGCAGGGAGGUCAACACCCUACAGGCAGCCUGUGCUGUUAAUAUAGUUGAAAACAGCAGGCAGGGAGGUCAACACCCUACAGGCAGCCUGUGCUGUUAAUAUAGUUGAAAACAGCAGGCAGGGAGGUCAACACCCUACAGGCAGCCUGUGAUGUUAAUAUAGUUGAAAACAGCAGGCAGGGAGGUCAACACCCUACAGGCAGCCUGUGAUGUUAAUAUAGUUGAAAACAGCAGGCAGGGAGGUCAACACCCUACAGGCAGCCUGUGAUGUUAAUAUAGUUGAAAACAGCAGGCAGGGAGGUCAACACCCUACAGGCAGCCUGUGAUGUUAAUAUAGUUGAAAACAGCAGGCAGGGAGGUCAACACCCUACAGGCAGCCUGUGAUGUUAAUAUAGUUGAAAACAGCAGGCAGGGAGGUCAACACCCUACAGGCAGCCUGUGCUGUUAAUAUAGUUGAAAACAGCUGGCAGGGAGGUAAACACCCUACAGGCAGCCUGUGAUGUUAAUAUAGUUGAAAACAGCAGGCAGGGAGGUCAACACCCUACAGGCAGCCUGUGAUGUUAAUAUAGUUGAAAACAGCAGACAGGGAGGUCAACACCCUACAGGCAGCCUGUGCUGUUAAUAUAGUUGAAAACAGCAGACAGGGAGGUCAACACCCUACAGGCAGCCUGUGAUGUUAAUAUAGUUGAAAACAGCAGGCAGGGAGGUCAACACCCUACAGGCAGCCUGUGCUGUUAAUAUAGUUGAAAACAGCAGGCAGGGAGGUCAACACCCUACAGGCAGCCUGUGCUGUUAAUAUAGUUGAAAACAGCAGGCAGGGAGGUCAACACCCUACAGGCAGCCUGUGCUGUUAAUAUAGUUGAAAACAGCAGGCAGGGAGGUCAAAACCCUACAGGCAGCCUGUGAUGUUAAUAUAGUUGAAAACAGCAGACAGGGAGGUCAACACCCUACAGGCAGCCUGUGCUGUUAAUAUAGUUGAAAACAGCAGGCAGGGAGGUCAACACCCUACAGGCAGCCUGUGCUGUUAAUAUAGUUGAAAACAGCAGGCAGGGAGGUCAACACCCUACAGGCAGCCUGUGCUGUUAAUAUAGUUGAAAACAGCAGGCAGGGAGGUCAACACCCUACAGGCAGCCUGUGAUGUUAAUAUAGUUGAAAACAGCAGGCAGGGAGGUCAACACCCUACAGGCAGCCUGUGAUGUUAAUAUAGUUGAAAACAGCAGGCAGGGAGGUCAACACCCUACAGGCAGCCUGUGCUGUUAAUAUAGUUGAAAACAGCAGACAGGGAGGUCAACACCCUACGUAUUGCACCAAUAGGGUUAACCCACAUGGUGGGAAUUGUUACCUGGCUCACACAAAAGCAUGUCUCAGACAACACCUCUGACACCAAUGUAGCAAACAGCGGGGCAGGGAAGUGAACCCAGGUUGCAUGUGUUAAAGGUGAACAACCUACGCAUCGCACCACUGGCAUCAAUUGGGUAACUUGGUUGGAAUUGUGACGUGGCUCAUAUAGUGAGGAUCACUACACUAUAGAGGAACUAUGAUACAAUUACAUUAUCAUAUGAAAUGUAGAGGAUCACUACACUAUAGAGGAACUAUGACACAAUUACA
Molecule: long non-coding RNA, 3106 nt
Organism: Oncorhynchus keta (chum salmon)
Lineage: Eukaryota; Metazoa; Chordata; Actinopteri; Salmoniformes; Salmonidae
Exons: 7
Source: RefSeq, a predicted model, not a curated record